Long non-coding RNA from Herpailurus yagouaroundi (jaguarundi), 4194 nucleotides. RefSeq lists it as uncharacterized. The record is from RefSeq and is a predicted model, not a curated record. The transcript has 3 exons. Lineage: Eukaryota; Metazoa; Chordata; Mammalia; Carnivora; Felidae.
GACAACAGUCUGUGACAACAGGCUACAUUUAAGAGAAAAAGAGAUGAAUCCAGAAACAGCUGGUUUUGCUCUUCUGGAACUAGAAAUGGUCUUUUUAUCCUAGUAGAAUCAGAAUAACCUUCCGUGGAUGUGGAAACAGCACCAGUGUGACUCUGCCUACCACAGAACCCAGGAUGCCAAGCACCGUGGGUGUUUCAAAACUGUUUUGAAACUUACCACCCACACUAGGCCACCUCCCUGCGCCCAGUCAAUUUCAACAGAGGCCUGGUGGUGCAAUGUUGAUAUUCCCCUGGCAGAAACUCCUUUCCAGAAGCUAUAGGAUGGGGCAGGCUUCUUAGGCGCAGAUUCCCCACACCGUGAUUUGAUAGCGCGUGGCACACUUGUAAAUAAAUACAUUCCAUUCGAAAAUUUACUUUCAGCACAGCAUUUUGCCAGGCCAUACGUUUUCUCACGGGCUCCUCCCCCUCACAUCAUGCCUCUGAUACUGCUUGCUACAAACGCCCAUGGAAGUGUGGAUUUGGCGGACCGGUGCUUUGUUCUGUUUCAUUUAAAAUGAUCAUUGGACCGUUUCCACCCCCAGCCUGAUUUCUUUCAGGGCUGAUCAGAUGUCUGUAGAGAUCUGCGCCUGUGGACUCAUGUUAAUCUGUUAAUUGAGUUAGACCUUCACUUGGCUCUAUCCUGUGUCUCACAGUGAAACGCUGGCUGCAGUGAGGUUUGUGCUGGUUGAAAACAUGAGAGCUGAUGAAUUACAGCUAGAAUGUGACAUUGACCACAGUUAGUCAUCAAAGGGGGAGGCACUGCUCACUCUCAGACCUGCAGAGCUCGCAGAACAGGCCCCCGGGGGCUUGGGAGCAUUGGUGACCUGCAGCCAGCGCCCCCUUCUUCUGGAAGCCUUGACACACAGCACGUAACGCGGGGCUGAGGGGCAUGACUCAGCACCCUGGCUCCACUCCUGGGAGGCUCUCUCCAUCCCCCAGGACUGCAGUUUCAAUGCUAUCCUCUGUGACUCAGCUGUCACCACCUCUUUGGGCAAGUUCCACUGCAGGUUUUGUGGGCCAGCGCUCUUGACCGAGAUGCAAAGGCCUUAUCAGCCAAGCAGAUGGCUGGACCAGCUGCCACUUCCCAGGGAGACCAGGAGUUUCCCCCUGGGUCAGCAGGGAGGGGUUUCCUGCGAGGAUCCCACGUGCCAAGUCCUCGGGGAUGCAAGACAUUCUGAGGAUGUGACUUACACGGGGAAGCUCACCAGGACUUCUCCGAUUCGAUAUAAAUAACUCUGCACUGGCAGAUGGGGCGCGAGCCAAGUAGUAAUGAAUACUAGGACAAACAAACAGGCCUCCGGGAUGCCGGCCCAGCCGCUCCAAACCACAGUUGGCAACAGGUUUGGAGGUGGCAGUGGGCGAAAAUCGUACCAGCAACACUGCAGUAAUCCUCGGGAGCGAACGCAGGGAAGCUCUCUCCAGAACGUGCCCUGCUUGAGAGACAGCAAGAGUCAUGAGACCGCUCCGGCCCGCCUUUGGCAAACAAGAGUCUAUAAUUAUGCAGACGUGCAUGGGAGCAGAAGGAAAUCCUGGAUUGCGUCUAGCAGUAUCGUAUGCUGCACAACGAAUCCUGUGAAGGACAGAAAAACACCUCGCCGAGACAUGUGGGUAAAGAUUUGAAAAGGAGGAAGGAGCAGCCCAUGAGAAUAUUGAAGGGGAAGACCACUGCGGACAAAGAGAACAGCAAAUACGGCGGCUCAGAGGUAGGGUGCACCGGCUGUAUUUGACUUCCUUAGCAGAGGUCAGUGUGGGUGGAAAAGUGGAGGGCUGGGGGGGGGGGGGGCCGUCUAAGAGGUAACGGGAGGCAGUUCCUGGGAAGUUUGCAGAAUAAGAGUGCAUAUACCAGGCAGCAAUCACACUUCAAAGGCCCAUAUGAAGUUAAUGGUUAUGAAUUUAUAUUUGAAUUUAGCUGUAAAAUGUGGCUUGAGAGAAAUCCCUAAAGCUCCUUCCAUGCUGGCUUAUCGGACGGGUCUUCUCUCGUGUCCGGAGUCUGUUCCUCCCUUUGGUCCACCUUUGAUCUUUUCCCUGAUCCCUUCCGCCAGAUUUAUUUGUACCCCCAUCCUUGUUCCUACCUCACUCUGCCCUACAUAGAACUGACAUUGCAUCAUGGUAACUGUUUUCUGCCUUCAACCGGGAACCCCUCAAGCACAACGAGGAGCCAUCAUCAUUGAAGGCAAUGCUCAGUAAAUUGAACUGCACUCUAUACAAUCCCACCAGAUUAUUGUAGGAAAGGGCUAAACGGCAACCGUGCAAGAAGAUUCUUUCGGUGCUGUUGCCAGAUUUGGUUUGUCUUUAAUUUAAGCACCCUGCUGAAUGUGCAAUCGAUAUUUCAGUAAUUAUGUACAAAUAGUUCUCAUUAUAAAUCAAAGUUGUUAUUACUGCCUUAAGCUUUGGCCUUGGUCUCUCUUCUGGGAGACCGGGCUGUUUUCCCGGAGUCGAAGGCCUCAGCUGGCUCCCAUGCCGUUCCCCUACAAAGCUGCACGCCGGGGUUAGCUGGUUAAGGGGGACAGAAACCAGUCUCCGGACACAGCUGGAGUAAAUCUUAAGCACCAGACUCACCAGCGAGAGGAGCGGGCCUCUGCUCCUAAAUGCAGGAUUGUGGCUAGAAGGCCACCAUGACCCCUAAGAGCACAAAACUCUCUAGGGAAUUAUUGAGACCUAAGGUCACUCGACCUGAAGAAAGCUCUGGAACACGAACUGCAAGGCAGAGUUGUCCCAUGUUGAUGUCCUCCUGUCAUUGGCCCCUAGGGGCUGGUCAGUCACAGGGUGCUUCCUGCAUGGGGCAGGGUGCUUGCGGGCAGAGGGGAUCCCCCCCCAAGCAAGGCAGGCUCCGUGUGCCAGGCCAGCUCUCCAGAGAAACAGCUCCAGGCAGUUGGGGGACAGGUGCGCUGGCCAGGGAAGGGGCACCUAGAGUAGCACCCAGGCCAAUCAGCGCACACUCCCUGGAGAUUCAAACUAGAACCAGAUGGCUUAGCCAACAAAGAUGAAGGGAAGCACAAACUCUGUACACUUUUUCUUCUUUCCCCGCAAGGAACUAGGCUUAGUUGCAAACCAAAAGGGUUCUUCAGGGAGUGGUGUCCUUAAGAUGAGGAAAUCCACAGGUAGCCCAACCUUUUCAUGAAAGUUCUUGUCCCGUCACUAGCAAAUGGCUCAGCUGUAUCUGAACCUGUUCGAAGCACGAGAAUACAUAGUGUUCUAUCUCGCCAGGGGGUCCUACCUCUGAAUUCUCUGGCACCUCCCUCCAGAGUCUCCACAGCCCCCACCCCGCACUGGGUCAGGACAGAGCUCUACUGUUUAGCCCCAAGUCACCAUAACCGCCCGCAUUUCUGGCCAUGGCAAUUUCAACUCCCUAAAUGUGCCCCGGGUGGGAAGAGAAUCCAGAUGUAACCGUGACCAAGAGUAGGAAACCUUACCUCAGAGGCCAGGGCCCCAGAUGAUGACCCAUUCCUUAAUUUCUCAGUCAGAGAGAGCCGUCCUCUGAAUCGACGGCAGAGUCAACACCAGCCACGCACAUAGGCUUUGACUUCUUACGAUCAAAAGGAAAAAGGUUCCCAUCUCUCCAUUUUAUCACAACAUUGAAUCUGCCAUUAUUGUCCAUGGAGCCUUUGUUUCGAGCCCAGCACAGAUAUUAUAAGAGGGCUCACUAAGUACUCUUUUUAAAAGACCAUUCAGUGUGUCCAAACCUCUGCUGUGUACCUCCCUUCUUGUUCGAAGCGACAUUCACGCACCUCUCUGGGUCCUUGCGCGCUGGACCCGUGGAGAACCCACCUGACUUGUUUCCCCCCACGCCCACACCUGGUUCUCACAUGGGUCCCCUCAAGACACCUGCAUAUUCUAUUCCCUUCUUGCCUUUGGUUCAAAAUAAAUUACAAACCCUAAAGAUUCUAAGAAGAGAUGAAAACAAAAACCCAAUUUAUCCAGAGAACUAGUCAUUUACCCCCUGGAGGUAUGAUUAGCUCACGUCUUACGCUGAACCAGGGUGAAUUAAAACAACAACAUCCAAAACCCAAAAAACAAACCAAAAAAACACGUGUUAAAUAUAUAGUUAAGCCUUAGACCUCUAACAGAUGACUAAUGGGUGUUAUGCUGUGUUUUGUUUCUUGUUAAAUUCCCAGAGAUAAUUAUUUACUCAAUAAAGUUUAAACAGUUACCGUAG